Molecule: transfer RNA, 72 nt
Filed under: Camelus bactrianus (Bactrian camel)
Lineage: Eukaryota; Metazoa; Chordata; Mammalia; Artiodactyla; Camelidae
Also listed under: 2 other names
Rfam family: tRNA
About the family: Transfer RNA (tRNA) molecules are approximately 80 nucleotides in length. Their secondary structure includes four short double-helical elements and three loops (D, anti-codon, and T loops). Further hydrogen bonds mediate the characteristic L-shaped molecular structure. tRNAs have two regions of fundamental functional importance: the anti-codon, which is responsible for specific mRNA codon recognition, and the 3' end, to which the tRNAs corresponding amino acid is attached (by aminoacyl-tRNA synthetases). tRNAs cope with the degeneracy of the genetic code in two manners: having more than one tRNA (with a specific anti-codon) for a particular amino acid; and 'wobble' base-pairing, i.e. permitting non-standard base-pairing at the 3rd anti-codon position.
Source: Rfam by way of RNAcentral
GAGGGUAUAGCUUAGUGGUAGGGCAUGUGCUUAGCAUGCACAAGGUCCUGGGUUCAAUCCCCAAUACUUCCA